GAAGAGUGGCCUCAAAUUAAAUUCUUUAUUAAUCUUUUUUUUCCAAAAUUUCCCCGAAAGGGGUUAAAUUCCAUAUAUUUUUUUACUACCCUUUCAUAUUUGUAUGUUUUCUCGAAUUGAUGAUACUAGAAGAGCCCUCUUUACCAAAGGAAUCCAAAUCUGCCGAAUCGCUCAUGUUAUGAUCUUCUACAUGCCUUGCACCUGUG
RNAcentral lists this long non-coding RNA (206 nucleotides) under Setaria viridis. Its description in RNAcentral is "long non-coding RNA (SVIR_LNC001089)". The record is from RNAcentral. Lineage: Eukaryota; Viridiplantae; Streptophyta; Magnoliopsida; Poales; Poaceae.